Molecule: ribosomal RNA, 257 nt
Filed under: uncultured bacterium
Lineage: Bacteria
Description: partial 16S ribosomal RNA
Rfam family: Bacterial small subunit ribosomal RNA
Source: RNAcentral
CGCACGGGUGAGUAACACGUAUGCAACCUGGCCGCCACAGGGGGAUAACCCGCGGAAACGCGGCCUAAUACCCCGUGACGCCACCGGAGGGCAUCCUCCGGUGGCCAAAGGAGCGAUCCGGUGGCGGAUGGGCAUGCGGCGCAUUAGCUAGACGGCGGGGUGACGGCCCACCGUGGCGACGAUGCGUAGGGGUUCUGAGAGGAAGGCCCCCCACACUGGGACUGAGACACGGCCCAGACUCCUACGGAAGGCAGCAG